Molecule: ribosomal RNA, 253 nt
Filed under: uncultured bacterium
Lineage: Bacteria
Description: partial 16S ribosomal RNA
Rfam family: Bacterial small subunit ribosomal RNA
Source: RNAcentral
UACGUAGGGGGCAAGCGUUGUCCGGAUUUAUUGGGCGUAAAGAGCGUGUAGGCGGCCAUGUAGGUCCGUUGUGAAAACCCGAGGCUUAACCUCGGGACGCCGACGGAAACCAUCUGGCUAGGGUCCGGAAGAGGAGAGUGGAAUUCCCGGUGUAGCGGUGAAAUGCGCAGAUAUCGGGAAGAACACCCGUGGCGAAGGCGGCUCUCUGGGACGGUACCGACGCUGAGACGCGAAAGCGUGGGGAGCGAACAGG